CUCAUUCCAUGGAAUCAACAUUUAAACCUUUAAAUCAACGCAUUUCAUUUGAAAUGAAUCCUCACUCAAUGCAUUACAUUCAUGCAUGUCAUAUGUUUAACAGCCACGGUUUAGAUCGUGCCCACGGUUGGGGGCCAUGGUUGCACCAAUUGUCCCAACUUCAUACUUAGCCCUUUCAAGUAUCUUGGGUCAAUAAUAUAAGAAAAUGAGGAGAUUGAUAAUGAUGUUACACAUCGUAUUGGAGGAGGGUGGCCGAGAUGGUCGCAUAUGAUGUCUCGCAUAAUAAGAAUGUGAUACCAAGACUUAAAAUACUAAAUUGGUGCCCCGACGAAUCCACAUUCGAGUCGCAUAAGGCCCAGGUGAACAUUUCUCAUCAGGAGUUUUAUAUACUUAGAGUUUGAAUUCGAAACUCAUGAUAAUCUACAUAUUAAUAAAUAAUUAUCAUGUUGGUUAAUAUUUGUGGUGUAUGUAUGAUUUAAAAAAUCAAAUUCUAAUGUCAUUUUCUGAUUUGAUAUGUAAUAACGGAAUUAAAUUAGUCAAGUAAACAAGAGGGUUUUUAAAUAGAUAUGCACUAAUACAAAUAUUAUGUAAAUGUGCAUGUAUGUGUACACUGUCAUGAAAAGUAGUUUUCUUGGGAUGCACCAAGUGUGGACAAAGUAAUAUUUCUCUCUAGUGAGAGUCA
Solanum dulcamara is the source of this 682-nucleotide long non-coding RNA. RefSeq lists it as uncharacterized. Lineage: Eukaryota; Viridiplantae; Streptophyta; Magnoliopsida; Solanales; Solanaceae. The record is from RefSeq and is a predicted model, not a curated record. The transcript has 2 exons.